UACGGAGGGUGCAAGCGUUAAUCGGAAUUACUGGGCGUAAAGCGUGCGCAGGCGGUUCGUUGUGUCGGUGGUGAAAGCCCCGGGCUUAACCUGGGAAUGGCCAUGGAAACUGGCGAACUGGAGUGUGGCAGAGGGGGGUGGAAUUCCGCGUGUAGCAGUGAAAUGCGUAGAGAUGCGGAGGAACACCGAUGGCGAAGGCAGCCCCCUGGGCUAGCACUGACGCCUCAGGCACGAAAGCGUGGGGAGCAAACAGG
This 254-nucleotide ribosomal RNA is filed under the name uncultured bacterium. RNAcentral describes it as "partial 16S ribosomal RNA". It matches the Rfam family "Bacterial small subunit ribosomal RNA", at positions 524 to 776 of the family's 1533-position model. The record is from RNAcentral.